AUUGAACGCUGGCGGCAGGCCUAACACAUGCAAGUCGAACGGUAACAGGAAACAGCUUGCUGUUUCGCUGACGAGUGGCGGACGGGUGAGUAAUGUCUGGGAAACUGCCUGAUGGAGGGGGAUAACUACUGGAAACGGUAGCUAAUACCGCAUAACGUCGCAAGACCAAAGAGGGGGACCUUCGGGCCUCUUGCCAUCAGAUGUGCCCAGAUGGGAUUAGCUAGUAGGUGGGGUAACGGCUCACCUAGGCGACGAUCCCUAGCUGGUCUGAGAGGAUGACCAGCCACACUGGAACUGAGACACGGUCCAGACUCCUACGGGAGGCAGCAGUGGGGAAUAUUGCACAAUGGGCGCAAGCCUGAUGCAGCCAUGCCGCGUGUAUGAAGAAGGCCUUCGGGUUGUAAAGUACUUUCAGCGGGGAGGAAGGGAGUAAAGUUAAUACCUUUGCUCAUUGACGUUACCCGCAGAAGAAGCACCGGCUAACUCCGUGCCAGCAGCCGCGGUAAUACGGAGGGUGCAAGCGUUAAUCGGAAUUACUGGGCGUAAAGCGCACGCAGGCGGUUUGUUAAGUCAGAUGUGAAAUCCCCGGGCUCAACCUGGGAACUGCAUCUGAUACUGGCAAGCUUGAGUCUCGUAGAGGGGGGUAGAAUUCCAGGUGUAGCGGUGAAAUGCGUAGAGAUCUGGAGGAAUACCGGUGGCGAAGGCGGCCCCCUGGACGAAGACUGACGCUCAGGUGCGAAAGCGUGGGGAGCAAACAGG
Molecule: ribosomal RNA, 759 nt
Filed under: uncultured Enterobacteriaceae bacterium
Lineage: Bacteria; Pseudomonadati; Pseudomonadota; Gammaproteobacteria; Enterobacterales; Enterobacteriaceae
Description: bacterial SSU rRNA
Rfam family: Bacterial small subunit ribosomal RNA
Source: RNAcentral